Schizosaccharomyces pombe (fission yeast) is the source of this 406-nucleotide non-coding RNA. Lineage: Eukaryota; Fungi; Ascomycota; Schizosaccharomycetes; Schizosaccharomycetales; Schizosaccharomycetaceae. The record is from the annotation of a GenBank genome assembly.
UCUUUUCAGUCGAGAUAUUAGACGCCUUAACGGAGCUACCAUUCAUCGCAAUUCGUGAGCCAAUUCCUGUCAACUCGGUAACAGUAUUAAGGUUAGCCGAGCCUUCUGUCGGUUUAAUCCUUUUAGAUGAUUUCUGAGCAAAAGAACGGGGAGUAGUGCCGUUCUUACUACCAACAUUGGUAUUGGCAACAGUUUUACUCUGCUCACUUCUAUUAGAUUUCUUGGUAGGUUCGGAGCCGUUAGCAGUACGGAGAGUCAUUUCCGUUAGCUCAUCUUCCUCGGAAAUAAUCAAAUCAGCAUUUGGGGUAGUAACGGUAUUGAGGAAAGCUUUUUCCUUUGAUACUAACUUUGUCAUAUUACCGUUGUUGGCAUCUGCCGAAGGUGCGGAAUUGUUUUUCGAAGCAAA